RNAcentral lists this ribosomal RNA (253 nucleotides) under uncultured bacterium. RNAcentral describes it as "partial 16S ribosomal RNA". It matches the Rfam family "Bacterial small subunit ribosomal RNA", at positions 524 to 776 of the family's 1533-position model. The record is from RNAcentral.
UACGUAGGGGGCAAGCGUUGUCCGGAAUUAUUGGGCGUAAAGAGCGUGCAGGCGGCCACACAGGUCUGCUGUGAAAACUCGAGGCUCAACCUCGAGCUGUCGGUGGAAACCGUGUGGCUAGAGUCCGGAAGAGGAGAGUGGAAUUCCCGGUGUAGCGGUGAAAUGCGCAGAUAUUGGGAAGAACACCGGUGGCGAAGGCGGCGACCUGGGCCGAUACUGACGCUGAGGCGCGAAAGCGUGGGGAGCAAACAGG